RNAcentral lists this ribosomal RNA (196 nucleotides) under uncultured Vibrio sp. RNAcentral's name for it is "partial 16S ribosomal RNA". It matches the Rfam family "Bacterial small subunit ribosomal RNA", at positions 335 to 523 of the family's 1533-position model. Lineage: Bacteria; Pseudomonadati; Pseudomonadota; Gammaproteobacteria; Vibrionales; Vibrionaceae. The record is from RNAcentral.
ACCCCUACGGGGGGCAGCAGUGGGGAAUAUUGCACAAUGGGCGCAAGCCUGAUGCAGCCAUGCCGCGUGUGUGAAGAAGGCCUUCGGGUUGUAAAGCACUUUCAGUCGUGAGGAAGGGGUGUACGUUAAUAGCGUGCAUCUUUGACGUUAGCUGCAGAAGAAGCACCGGCUAACUCCGUGCCAGCAGCCGCGGUAA